AAGGUAGCAUAAUCAUUAGUUCUUUGAUUGGGGACUGGAAUGAAUGGUUGGACGAGGGAGUAGCUGUCUUUUGACAUUGAAAUUAAUUUUAAUGUGAGGAAGCAUGAGGGACGAGAAGACCCUAUUAAGUUUGAUUAAUUUGUUGGGGCGAUGAUAGUGAUAAGGAGAUUAAAUUACUGUAGGGAUAACAGCGUGAAAUUUUUGGAGAGAUCAUAUUGAUGAAAAGUUUUGCGACCUCGAUGUUGAAUUAAACCUGCUUGGAGUAGGACUUAUAAUUUUUUACA
This 284-nucleotide ribosomal RNA is filed under the name Charinus aguayoi. Its description in RNAcentral is "partial large subunit ribosomal RNA". It matches the Rfam family "Bacterial large subunit ribosomal RNA", at positions 1953 to 2592 of the family's 2925-position model. The record is from RNAcentral. Lineage: Eukaryota; Metazoa; Arthropoda; Arachnida; Amblypygi; Charinidae.